Molecule: non-coding RNA, 27 nt
Filed under: Bombyx mori (domestic silkworm)
Lineage: Eukaryota; Metazoa; Arthropoda; Insecta; Lepidoptera; Bombycidae
Source: RNAcentral
AAGAUCGUUAAAGGUUUGGUGGAUUGC